CUCAUCACUUCCGCCUCCCUGUGGUCUCUGAAAGCUAGACAACCGGAGCUUAUACAGAUCCGACGGUGGAGCCUUCGCCUUCCCCUCAAAUGCUCCACUUCUAGAUUAGGUAAACGCGAUGCUCCGGAGGGACAAAUCGCCGGAGCGCGCGGGCGGAAAGAGUGUCGUGGCGGGGUUAGGGCACGGGACCGGUCUGGCAGUCCCGUGAGCUUGAGAGAAUUGAAUGCCUCCACAAUUGUCAACCAGGCUUGUUCUUGCACAGCCUGUUGGCUUCUGGUGGAGUUUGACUUUUGGAAAGUAGGAUGGCCCAGAUAGGAGAAGAGAAAGAGGAGUCUGCUGGUGACGUUCUGGAGAACUUUUGUUUGUUUACUGAACAUGGAAGGGAGGUACUCUUUCUGCCUUGCCUGUUUUAUUUUCAGGAAGCAGGGUUGGGAAUGAAAAUCCUUGGAGCUGAAACAGCCAUCCUGAAGCUAUAACAAGCCGGAGGAAUAAAUAAACCCCAGUUUCUUGUAUCCUGGGUGAUGUAUUCAGUGGAUGGCCUAGGGGGCUGAGCAGCGUGCAUUAAAGCUUGCUGAAGAUACACGAGACAGAGACAACUGAGAUUGUGGCAGCUCUCCACAAAAGAUGCCAUGCCCAGUGAAAAGUCAAACAGUGGAGUUUGAGUCUGUACUUUUUUUUCCCAGACAACCUCAGUGCCUACGACUGUCUUUAAACUGGUGUUUCUCCUGCCUGAGCCUUCUGAGUAGUAGGAGUGCAGGUGUGCUCCAUCAGGUUGAGGUGUUAACCAUUUCUAAUAUAAAAUCAACCUGUAAUGCUUUAAGUAACACUAAUAAUAAAAGGCCAUUUUGUACA
This is a non-coding RNA of Rattus norvegicus (Norway rat), 852 nucleotides long. NCBI's taxonomy places the organism in Eukaryota, Metazoa, Chordata, Mammalia, Rodentia, Muridae. The record is from RefSeq and is a predicted model, not a curated record.